CUGGCUGCACAGGGCUGAAUUUCACCCCGUCAGAGUGUAUUCUAAGGGCCCCCCGUGCAUCAUAUGGGCAUUCUUGAGUGUGCAGAUUGCAUCAGACCUGCACCUGAAUAAUUAAUAGUGACUGAAAUAUGCAGACACUAAAGUUCUGCAGCCAAAUUCUUGGAAACCUUCCUCUUCAAUGUAAGAUCAGGAUUUUGGUUUAAAUUUAUUUUUAUUUAAAAAAAAAGUGCUAAGCAGAUGCUACACUGUAAGAAGCGGAAAGAGAAUCAAAAAUUGAAAGAUUGUUAUUAAAACCAAUGAACAACUGCAGAGAGUGGAGACCCGGCAAAGCAAACAAAUGAAUACUGCUAGGGCUCACCGUCCAUUGUGGAGGUGAAGACCAGAUGAGAGCUGCUGGAUUGACCUUGAUGUGCCAUGUCCUUGUGUGGAUGAAGGACCUACAUCUCAGGGAUGGCCAGCAGCAGAUGUAACACAUAUCUCCAGGAAUGAGCUAAAUAACCUACCUUGAGAGAUCUCAGCCGCUCAGCAGAAUGCGGGAGAGCCGAGUGCUGAUGGGCUAGAG
Molecule: long non-coding RNA, 562 nt
Organism: Mauremys reevesii (Reeves's turtle)
Lineage: Eukaryota; Metazoa; Chordata; Testudines; Geoemydidae
Exons: 4
Source: RefSeq, a predicted model, not a curated record